RNAcentral lists this unclassified non-coding RNA (1464 nucleotides) under Hevea brasiliensis (rubber tree). Lineage: Eukaryota; Viridiplantae; Streptophyta; Magnoliopsida; Malpighiales; Euphorbiaceae. The record is from RNAcentral.
CGUUAAACCAAGUACAUAGUCUCAACUAUACAAUAACUGCAAACACCCCAACAACACUAAUAGAAACAUGAUAAAGAUGCUUACGGAUAUCAAACAACAGUUAUUUGGAAUUUGCAAAUUUAACCUAAUACAGAAAAUAUUGAUGUCAACAACACAUGCGGUACUAAAGUUCCUUGAGUAAGCAGAAUGUUGAACUCAUCUCCUCCAACCAGGAAGCACCUUUUCGUCUUUCGAGGAGGAUAUCGGUCUGGUCUUAUUUCCACUUUUUCCAUUUGCUUGCCCUGGCUUUUGAAUCCGAGGUGACAAGGAGUUGAAUUUUCCAUUGGCAGAGGAUGGUAGAGAAUGACGCCGGACAAACCCAUUUUCAGCUCCAUCAUCACUUACCUUGGGAGAUCCUUGAGCUUUAAGCUUUGCCUUAGCAGAUUGAGUGGCAGCCAUAUAACUAGGCACACUUGGUGUAUUCUGUGAAAUAUUCUCAGAAUUGUCCUGCUUAGUGGGGAGAGACUUCCUCCUCCUAAUUCUUUCUUUGGUAGUCUGAUCGUCCAUCGAGCUAAUUUCCUCAUUAACAACAGGGCUGUUCGCAGUGUUGUUAACAUCCUCCGGCUGCUGCUGCUCAGUGGUAGGAUGAUCGUGCAGUACAUCCGUUGGCUCAUCCACUGCUACAGGUAAAGGAGCUUCACUUUCAACCAAUUUCUCGAUUUCAGGAGCUGAAUCACUUGUUUUCUCACAAGAAUUAACCAUCAUUUGCUCAACAACAUCUGGAGCUGAGGAUUUUGAUGCUGUGGCCUGAGCCUGAGCCAGAUUAGGAGUCUGUUGCGCUUUCUCAAUUUCUGUUUCAGACCUCUCAGAAGAUGUUGCCAAAGCUGCAGAAACCUUUCUUAAAUUGCGCUUGACUUUUUCAAGUUCAUUUUGAGGCUGAUCCUGUACUGGCUCUAUGUGAUGAUUCGAGAAUUUCCUUGGGUUGCGUUUAGCCUUUUCUGGUUCAGAGGAACUUACGCCAUGAGCAUCUCCAUUUGAUGCUGUAAGAACCUUCUUGACACUUCGUUUUGGUCGUACUGCUUCUGUUUCAACACUCGGCUUGUUACCCUGCUUCUUCAGCGACUUUGCUCCAACUACUUUCUUUGGUUGUGGAAGUGGUUCCCAAAAGCGAGAUAGUGACCAUCUUUCAAGCCACUGCCAAGCUGAAUUAGGUUCGCCCUCAUCAUACUGAAGGCUCAAUGGCAUGGCUGUUGGCACUGCCACAAGAAGCUUGCGUGGAAAUGCAUAAACUGUCAGCUUAGCUUGCCUCUGCUCAGGAUACUUAAGUUCCUCAAAACUAUACUUUCUGAGCAGAUGAUGCCCAGGAUCUAAGAGUCUACUCCUUCUGCCACGAGCUAAUGCCUGAAUCCUGACAAUUGCCUGCAUGCAGCGUAAAGUAGCAACUGCCUGUCUCCUUACCAAGUGCAGGCAAUUGUCAGGAUUCAG